Molecule: transfer RNA, 71 nt
Filed under: Miridiba trichophora
Lineage: Eukaryota; Metazoa; Arthropoda; Insecta; Coleoptera; Scarabaeidae
Description: tRNA-Lys
Source: RNAcentral
CAUUAGAUUACUGAAAGCCAGUGUUGGUCUCUUAAACCAUAAUAUAGUAAAUUAGCGAUUACUUCUAGUGA